Molecule: long non-coding RNA, 868 nt
Organism: Brachypodium distachyon (stiff brome)
Lineage: Eukaryota; Viridiplantae; Streptophyta; Magnoliopsida; Poales; Poaceae
Exons: 3
Source: RefSeq, a predicted model, not a curated record
UCCCUCUUCUCUCCCGAUUCGCGCCGCCACCCUUCAGAUCCACCGCCGGCAACUCGCCCCCUCCACCCUCCGGCUAUCACGGCACCACGCCCACCCCCCUCCUCCACACUCAGGCCGAAGCCCAUCUCGCCGCCUCUCCCACGAAGAUCCGGCAGCGUGGCGCUCAUCUCGGAGUUCAUCUUGUCCCGGUCCAAGACCCUCCACCGAGCUGCUCAUCCACGCCCGCCGCCAUGCUCGCCCUCCCUGCCUCCCUUCCAUGUAGAUCCAUCUCGGUGUGCGGAGCUCCUUCCCCUACGUACCAAGCCGCCGUAGUACACUGCGUCACCGGCUGCCCCACGCCCGCCGACGUCCUCUGCCUCCUCUUCGUCUGUGGAGGAUUUUGACGCCUGGCUCGCCAAUAAGCUUCUGCAGAUCCUACGAGACGUAGUACAGAACUCGGGGUCACAAUUCAUAAGGGAAGGAGAAGGACUUAUGAUUAUCUACGCAGAAGGAGGAGACGUAGUACAGGUAUCUGCAAUUUUUUUGGAUUAUGUACGCAGCUUGCCUAGUUUCUUUUGCCUCUUGAUGAUUUGUAGCACAAGUGCAGUAGCUUUGCAGCACAAAUAACAACCUAGUUGGUAGAAUUAUUUUUAGUGUUGUUUGUGUUUUGUUUAAAGUUGCUAAGUUGUAUUGUUUCAGGCUAGCUUGUAAACAUAUCAGCAAUAUGUCUGACAGUUCUGGUACUAGUAAUUCUACCGAUGGGACCUUAGUGGUGUCCAAUACUAGGAGAUCAAAAGUCUGGAAGCAUUUUGAGCCAAAUUUGGUUUUCGUAGAUGAGAUUCCAAAGGCCGUCUGCUUGUAUUGUAGACUCAAAUUGACAAAUACUCAC